GCCUGGGUGGCUCAGUCGGUUGAGCGUCUGACUUUGGCUCAGGUCAUGAUAUCACAGCUCAUGAGUUCAAGCCCCACAUCGGGCU
This 85-nucleotide transfer RNA is filed under the name Felis catus (domestic cat). It matches the Rfam family "tRNA". From Rfam's summary of the family: Transfer RNA (tRNA) molecules are approximately 80 nucleotides in length. Their secondary structure includes four short double-helical elements and three loops (D, anti-codon, and T loops). Lineage: Eukaryota; Metazoa; Chordata; Mammalia; Carnivora; Felidae. The record is from Rfam by way of RNAcentral.